CCUACGGGAGGCUGCAGUCGGGAAUAUUGCGCAAUGGAGGAAACUCUGACGCAGUGACGCCGCGUGCAGGAAGAAGGUUUUCGGAUUGUAAACUGCUUUAGACAGGGAAGAUAAUGACAGUACCUGUAGAAUAAGCUCCGGCUAACUACGUGCCAGCAGCCGCGGUAAUACGUAGGGAGCAAGCGUUAUCCGGAUUUAUUGGGUGUAAAGGGUGCGUAGACGGGAAGACAAGUUGGUUGUGAAAUCCCUCGGCUUAACUGAGGAACUGCAACCAAAACUAUCUUUCUUGAGUGCUGGAGAGGAAAGUGGAAUUCCUAGUGUAGCGGUGAAAUGCGUAGAUAUUAGGAGGAACACCAGUGGCGAAGGCGACUUUCUGGACAGUAACUGACGUUGAGGCACGAAAGUGUGGGGAGCAAACAGGAUUAGAUACC
RNAcentral lists this ribosomal RNA (431 nucleotides) under uncultured bacterium. RNAcentral's name for it is "bacterial SSU rRNA". It matches the Rfam family "Bacterial small subunit ribosomal RNA", at positions 338 to 786 of the family's 1533-position model. The record is from RNAcentral.